Molecule: long non-coding RNA, 898 nt
Organism: Myzus persicae (green peach aphid)
Lineage: Eukaryota; Metazoa; Arthropoda; Insecta; Hemiptera; Aphididae
Exons: 5
Source: RefSeq, a predicted model, not a curated record
GUUGAAAUAUAUAAAUAUAUAAUACAAACCGUUAUGAACACAAUAUUACAGUGAUAACUAAAUGUAUAUGAUUUACCACUUCUUAAUUCUGGACAGUGAACACAUUGUGUAUGAAAACACAAAAAAGUGGAUACCGGUUCAUCGACUGCUUUGAAUACUUUGAAAUGCAACGAAUUUUUGUGUUCAUACAGUACUACUCGGUUACUCUGAAUCUUAGAAAGCUAACUCUAUACAAGAAGCGCGGGGAAGUGCUUAAAGUUUAACAACCACCACUCCGAAUGGAUGUUUUUUCAAAGAUUGAAAAACAAUAAACAACUAGAAAAAGAAUAAUCGAAUGAUGAAUUGCAAAAAAUAUCAAAUCGGAAAAGUUCUUACAAAAAUUGAAAUACACCAUGAAAUUUUCAUAGACACUUCCAGUUUUUGUAAAUAUGGUUUUUAAGAGAGUAUUUUACCGCAUAUGAGAGACCGUUGCAAGUUUUCUACAAAGGUGUAAUGUUGACAUACGUCAAAGGAAAGUGAUGAAAUUGAUGUUGGUCACUACGCAACAUGGCUGUGCAUCACAAAUACAGUACUACCAUGAGUUAUGAGGUAUUCAAUAUCACAUAUUCACAUAUUAUAUUAAAAACUUUUACGGGUAACGGCGUACCUCUGUCAUCAGUACCUACAAAAUACAAAACAUCCAUCAGCAGCAUUUAAUCUCAGCAAAUCUGAUUUAUUCUUUGAUACAGUUUCGGCCUGGGCAGCCAGCAUAUAGUGAAUUAAUGUCCUCUCUCCUCUCAAACCAAACACGAUCUUUGGGUGUUGUUAUUUCAUUAUAAAUGGACCGUUCGACACGAUUCGCAAUACACAAGCUCAGAUGUUGAUCGGAAACCGCGGUGCAGCAGACCGAGAUUAUUGC